CUGUCCCUAAUUUCAGGUUCCAAUGAUGGCAGGAUACGGUCAGCCUGGAAUGCAGCCAAUGAUGCAGCCUGGUAUGGCGCCCAUGGGAGGAAUGCAAAUGAUGGGAAUGGCCCCGAUGUCUGGAGGGGUCCCCAUGACCACGAUGCCACAAAUGAUGGGUAUGGGCCAGCCAAUGUACAUGGGUAUGCGACCUGGUAUGGCUCCUAUGGGAAUGCCCAUGGCUCAGCCCCGACCUCCCAUAACACAGACCCAGCCAAACGACCCAUUUGGCGCCUUGUGAGACCAGCCAUGCAUGAAUGUGUGAUCUGUGUGUGAUAUUUGAUGAAUAAUUCCAAUGGGAGCUCAGGAUGCAGCCAUCAUGCAGGCCAGGAGAGUGUUCAUUAUCAGAUCAACCCCCUCCAUACAACAUAAUCAUCGUCCUACUAUCAGCCAUGUGCACACAAAUGUUCACUAUACAACAUUGUACUUCAAUGUGCAUAGAAAUAUUCAACAUGCACGGUUAUUGGGAUGCAUAGAAAUCUGUAACAUACAAAAUCUUUAUUCCUCUAGCAUUGUGAGGUUGCAGGAUACAUUGUUGAUAUUGGAUGUGCGUAGAACUGCACAACCUACAACCUUUGUACUUUAUUACUGUUCAUAGAACUGCACAACACGCAUCAUCUCUGUUCGGUAGCACGCACAGAAAUAUACAGCAACUGUUGCCAAUCAUCAUCUCUGUUCGGUAGCACGCACAGAAAUAUACAGCAACUGUUGCCAAUCAUCAUCUCUGUCCGGUAGCACGCACAGAAAUAUACAGCAACUGUUGCCAAUCAUCAUUGUCGUUCGGUGUGCAAAAGAAACUCCAUGUCGCUAGAAGCUGUGGUUCCAAUAUUGUCAAUAUUUAUUAUUAUAGUGAUAUUAGUGUUCUGCACUUCCCAAUUUUAGUGUGUUGACUGUUAAAUCUGUACUUAAGUGUGUGAACUGUUGAAUCUGUCCUCUGUUAAUACAUAGGUAUGUAAACUGUCAACUCUAAACUGAAGUGUUUUAAGUUACAAUGUGUUAUAUUCUGUAGCUUUGUGGGUUAGAGUGUUAGUAUUAAUUCAGUUACGCACAUGUGAAACUUUUGACCUAAAAUUUAGAUGGGUAGUUUAGUAAAGGUCAGCAGGCGUUGCUGUAUAGCCAGACAUGGAAUCUCGUGUUUCCAUGUUUACCAGUGAAUUAAUUCAAUAAAUAUUUCCUUAACUUAGGAAUGAUUUGCUAUAUUUCAGAAAAACACAACCUACCUUGUUAUGAGGGCAUUUUAAGUGCUGUAAAGUUUUCAAAAUACUUACAUAUAAUAAUUACGAGUAUGUGAUAACAUGAUGGUUCGUUGUAUGAUGUGUGCAUUCCCUUUAUUUUAAAUGUGCCAUUUUGUUUCCAUGAAAUAUAAACAAGAAUUUGGUUGAAUGUGCGAUAAGUAAAUGAAAGUUAGUUUGUUCUAAUGUACAAAAUUCUGACAUUCCAUGGGUGAAUUUAGUUUCGUGAAAUAUUAUACUCCUGAUAAUCCUUUGAGCAUUUCAUUUUCAUAUCUUACUGGAAUUUGGUUAUAUACAAUGUAUUUAUCUUACUAAAUGUGUUUUGUUUUCCUAUUUUACAAGUAGAUGUUUGAGGUCAUAAUAUGGAAUCGUAAUAUUAUUGUGUUACAUUAAUUGACUUAUAGCAAAUACGUCACCUAUUUCAUAGUUACCCAUAGGGUUCUCUGACUUUUGAAGAUGAAAGGUAUAUUAUAAAAUAUGAAUGAAUUCAUUUUUGUGGUGGUUUGUGCAAUCAAAAAUGGCACUUUUUGUAUCCCGUCAUGUUCCUAUUGUGUUUGUUGUAGAGCUUGAAAAUAUUACUAGAAAUCUUACAAGCUCUUGCAUCCUGCCCUGUCCGUGUCCACCGCAUUGCUCUACACCUUCACAUGACAACAUUUUCAGUGUGCACAUUUCAUUUUAACCUCCCAUUUGACUUAGUGUUUUUGCUAACCAAUAAUAAAGUCAAGGGUACUGACAUCUUGUAAGACAAUACUUGACAAUUUUUGUUUUCAUCUUUUUAACUCGUAAACAUUAUCUCUCUACAAAAGUCUUGUUUUCACCCAUUUUGCAUGCAAACAUGGUCUGCUACUGUAUUUAUAUAUGGUCAUAUUAAGUGCUGUCAUAUUGUUAAAGGAAUCCCACCCACAAAUAUGUGAAUUUUAGGAUGCCGGGUGAUCACAUCUGAUAUUGGAACCAUUUGAAUGGAUUUUGCAUGCAAAAAAAAUACUUUGUUCGAAAAAUAAUACUGAAAAUGUAAUAAAAGGGUGGGUUUUUUUGGCCUUCAUAGAUUGCAAAUUAGGUUAUUUUAUGUCCAAGUUCAACUCAAAUGAAAUAAAGUGCAAAUAUUCCAACUGUUAUAGCUCAAUGUAUAAUGUAUUGUACAUUUGGUCAUUUUAGUGAUAACCAAGCAAACACAUUGUAAAUGGUUCUUAAAUAACCAGACAACAAAACUUAAUGUAAUGGUUUUAAGAGUUGUCAGAGAAUGAGCUUAUUUUUGGAUUGGAUACCUUAAAAGACUUCAGUGUUUUUGUCAGAUGUUCAUACAAUGUCCAUCUUUGUCUAUUUCUGUUUCAUUGUGUAUUUGUACAUAAGAGGUCUUUUUCUAUCAAUAUGUAGAUAUUAAGUUAUAUAUAUAUAUACACAGGUUUUUCCUAUUCAUUUAUUUUACUCGCAUGCUGUUAUAGACCUAUUGCUGUAGAGUUUUGCUGUGUCAUAUGUGCAUGUAACUGCUGGAUAAAGACAAUUUUAUCAUACAUUUGUCUAGACAAAGAUGUCAGUUAUUCUUGGAUGCACAACUCAACUGCAAGAAAUUGAAAGUAUGAAAAAAAAAAAGAAGAGUAAAAUGCAGAUUAAUGCUAUUUUUAAUUGUAAGUUUAUCUCAUGUUUGCAAAUGACAUUUGUAUAUACAAAUAACUUAUGCACUCUUGGCUUCACAUUUCCAUUUCUGAAAAGCCAGUCAAAUAUUAUAUAUGUGUAUGUAAAAUCAGAAUGUAUGAGACUGAGUUAUUCACUUUGCAUCUAGUGAAGUGCUUGUUGAUAACAAUUCAAGUUUUACAUAUCAAAGUAUGAUAAACUUUACAAUUAGUGUUAAACUUUAAUAUCAAAUCCUUAAAGUAACUCUAGGAUUCAGACUUGUUGAUCUAAAUGACUUUAUUCUUAAUUCACUGACAGCUUAGUGCUUACCAAUCAGGUCUUGUAUAGCAGCAUGUAUAUGUGACACAGCAAUACAGUUGUCAUGUGGUACCCUGUCUCUAUCGUAUAUAUGCUCUAGGCUUUUCAUUGCUGCAGUCUUCGUACUAUGUAACUGUUCAGAGGGGAGAACCAUACUAUGUCUUAGUUAAGCAUACCGGUAUAAUUUGUGGGGUUGAUGCCAGAAAGUUUAAAGCGACAUUAAAAUAUAUAUGGCUUUGGUAUAUUCUGGCAUUAGCCCUACACAGUAUAAUAAAGUAAUUUUCUUGAAAAAAAUAUCGAGCAGCAUCAAUGGACAAACAAAUGUUUGUGUGAAAUUUUGGAUUAUGGCAGAAAUCAUUGUCCUGUUAGAAUUAUUUAUUUUGCUGAAUUUAUUUUAAUUGAAAAGAAAUGAUUUUCAAAUUUUAGUCUGAUAUAACAUGCUCAUUCCAAUAAUACUGGUACUUCCAUACUUUUGUGAAAUCUUGAAGAAUGCUACGACUCCAUUUUUUCAUCUUCAGUAAAAGCUGGCUUUUUGUCAUUUUGGUGUUUCUCAUUUAUCAGGCUUUGGAAGUAAUCAUUUUGUAAUCACUACUUAUAUGCAAAAACUUAUUCUAUACAUUUGUCUUGUAAUCCCUUUAAACUAUUAAAGCUGUCUUAGCCUGGGGCUGGAUUACAGAAGCAUCUUGAGUUAAAAUUGUAACUUUUCCUUAAAUUCUAUUUGGGAAGUGAUUUAUUCCACAGGUACAAAGUGUUUUGCUUAAUGUUAAUUCUGUAAUUAAAAUAUUAAAGUUUUCAAAUUGGAAAUGUCAUUUUAAAGCAAUUGUUAAUUUCAAGAAAUAUGAAUGUUACUCUCAUUUUGUUUUUAAAUAUCCUCAAAAUGUUUCUGUUAUACAGCCUCUGUUGAGCCACAUACAGGGUCUUCCUUUGCCAUAGACUUUGUGAUUAUGUAGGAAGGACAUAGGACAGACAAAAUAGCUUAUAAAUAUUCUUUGAUAUUGAGUUGAUGUCAUUGCUUAAGGUCGAUGACUUUCGUUGAGAAAAUUUAAUAUUUUACUGAUUCAGUUGUUAUGAUUGUUAUUUAGCGCUAUAAUCAUGUCACAAAAUGUUGUGUACCAUAGAAAAUUAAAUAAAAUAUAUGUACAAUGGUA
Mya arenaria is the source of this 4348-nucleotide long non-coding RNA. RefSeq lists it as uncharacterized. The record is from RefSeq and is a predicted model, not a curated record. Lineage: Eukaryota; Metazoa; Mollusca; Bivalvia; Myida; Myidae. The transcript has 4 exons.